AUGGGAACGCGAAGAACCUUACCUAGACUUGACAUCUCCUGAAUAGUGUAGAGAUACAUGAAGCCCUUCGGGGCAGGAAGACAGGUGGUGCAUGGUUGUCGUCAGCUCGUGUCGUGAGAUGUUGGGUUAAGUCCCGCAACGAGCGCAACCCUUAUUACUAGUUGCUACCAUUAAGUUGAGCACUCUAGUGAGACUGCCCGGGUUAACCGGGAGGAAGGCGGGGAUGACGUCAAAUCAUCAUGCCCCUUAUGUCUAGGGCAACACACGUGCUACAAUGGUGAGCACGGAUAGAUGCGAUACCGCAAGGUGGAGCCAAACUCUAAAACUCAUCCCAGUUCGGAUUGUAGGCUGCAACUCGCCUACAUGAAGUUGGAGUUGCUAGUAAUCGCGAAUCAGAAUGUCGCGGUGAAUACGUUCCCGGGUCUUGUACACACCG
RNAcentral lists this ribosomal RNA (436 nucleotides) under uncultured bacterium. RNAcentral's name for it is "bacterial SSU rRNA". It matches the Rfam family "Bacterial small subunit ribosomal RNA", at positions 954 to 1392 of the family's 1533-position model. The record is from RNAcentral.